Molecule: long non-coding RNA, 1176 nt
Filed under: Equus caballus (horse)
Lineage: Eukaryota; Metazoa; Chordata; Mammalia; Perissodactyla; Equidae
Description: lncRNA (ENSECAG00000037118.3)
Source: RNAcentral
GGGUGGAGCAACCUGAGAUGAGGUCACAGAGGCAGACAGGGGCUGGGGUGUAGGACUUUCUGGCCAGUUUAAAAAGUAUGGAUUUGUUCUAGGAGCAAUGUGAAGCCAUAUGAAAAUAAUAACUACAUACCUCAUAGAUUUGGUGAGAGUUUUAAAUGACUUCAUAUUUAUGAAGUGUUUAGAACAGAGGCUGGCAUAUGAUCUGAAGAGCAGUACAGACUAAGCGAAGGAGAAAAGAAUGAGGAGCAGGAAGAGGAGAAAAGAAAGACCACCAUGUAUGCAGAGUGCCCAAAGAGAGCCAUUCCUGUGCUUUUUCUGCAACAGCAUCUUCCUUGGGAAACAGCUGAAUGUGGCUACUGCUUCCACUUGGAAAAUUAGAGUACAGCAACCAUGCUAUUAGAAAUCUUGUGCUCUUUGAUGUUGGCGUUUGGUAUUUUUGGCUAAAAAUUAAGCUGAGAUCGUUUAAACAUGUCUGACACAUGGACUGGGCCUGUAUCUUAGUGAGUUUUCUUUGUUUUGUCAGUCUACCCAUUAUUUCAUCUCCUUUAAUCAAACAUUUUAUUGUACUUUUGCAAUAUUAUCAGGCGAGACGGUGAGUGUCAAUAUCAGUAAGAUUACCUGUGCUGUGAUGUUUCUGAAACAUCUGGUGUCUAGGUCAGGCUUUUCUCAGCUUUUUACUUUGUUUUUGGUGCACUUAGGAUCUUUUCUAACACAUGGACACUCCUAUUCAGCCAUCUCUUCUUCAAGCUAUUCUUCUUCAUAUAAUUUUUCCUUAAAGUCCAAUUUUUAUAAAUGAUUAAUUCUUAUUGUUUUCUUCAGGACCACUCAAAGAUAACUUCCCUUAUCUCCUUCAAUUUUUACUUGAAAAUAAAAUAUUACUCUAGACAAAGAAAUUUUUGACUUAAAUUCUCCCACUACCCAGGCCACCAGAUUUUAUAAUACGCAAGUAGUUGGAGACUAUUCAAAGUCCAGUCAGGUGCUUACCUUUCUAUCCUGACUCUUUAUCUGCAAAUCUCUUUCUGUCUUUCUUGUUUUCUUUACCCUAUUUUCCUCACUAUCAAAUAUUUUUAUCACCCUUAAAUACAGUUCACUGGAUUAGGCUUGCAUUUAAGAAAAGUUAUGCUGUCUAUUCUUUUCUAUAACAAUACCAUAUUUAAAAAUUUCCUGUGAUAUGGG